UACGGGGGGGGCAAGCGUUGUUCGGAAUUACUGGGCGUAAAGGGCUCGUAGGCGGCCAACUAAGUCAGACGUGAAAUCCCUCAGCUUAACUGGGGAACUGCGUCGGAUACUGGAUGGCUUGAAUUCGGGAGAGGGAUGCAGAAUUCCAGGUGUAGCGGUGAAAUGCGUAGAUAUCGGGAGGAAUACCAGUGGCGAAGGCGGCUUCUUGGCCUGUUCUUGACGCUGAGGCGCGAAAGCUGGGGGAGCAAACGGG
This 253-nucleotide ribosomal RNA is filed under the name uncultured bacterium. RNAcentral's name for it is "partial 16S ribosomal RNA". It matches the Rfam family "Bacterial small subunit ribosomal RNA", at positions 524 to 776 of the family's 1533-position model. The record is from RNAcentral.